AGUUCCGAGGUGUUAUCAUGUCAGAUUGCAAAUCUGAAGAAGCAGGUUAACCGCCUGCCGGGGCUU
This 66-nucleotide transfer RNA is filed under the name Hirundichthys affinis (fourwing flyingfish). RNAcentral's name for it is "tRNA-Cys". It matches the Rfam family "tRNA". From Rfam's summary of the family: Transfer RNA (tRNA) molecules are approximately 80 nucleotides in length. RNAcentral also lists the same sequence under 2 other names. Lineage: Eukaryota; Metazoa; Chordata; Actinopteri; Beloniformes; Exocoetidae. The record is from RNAcentral.